Molecule: non-coding RNA, 99 nt
Organism: Exophiala mesophila
Lineage: Eukaryota; Fungi; Ascomycota; Eurotiomycetes; Chaetothyriales; Herpotrichiellaceae
Source: the annotation of a RefSeq genome assembly
GCAUUGUUGGUUUAGUGGUAAAAUCUGCCGUUGCCAGUCUUCCUUAACAGGUCUACUUUCAAUGUCGGCAGGCCCCGUGUUCGAUUCACGGACAAUGCA